AACGAACGCUGGCGGCGUGCUUAAGACAUGCAAGUCGUACGGUAAGGCCCCCUUCGGGGGGUACACGAGUGGCGCACGGGUGAGUAACGCGUGGGUAAUCUACCUCCGGGUCUGGGACAACUUCGGGAAACUGGAGCUAAUACCGGAUAAGACCACGAGGUCCUCGGACUUCGCGGAAAAAGGUGGCCUCUUCUUGAAAGCUACCGCCCGUUGAUGAGCCCGCGUCCCAUUAGUUUGUUGGUGAGGUAACGGCUCACCAAGGCACCGAUGGGGUAGCUGGUCUGAGAGGAUGAUCAGCCACACUGGAACUGAGACACGGUCCAGACUCCUACGGGAGGCAGCAGUCGGGAAUUUUGGGCAAUGGGCGCAAGCCUGACCCAGCAACGCCGCGUGAGGGAUGAAGGCCUUCGGGUCGUAAACCUCUGUCGAGAGGGACGAACGAUCAGCGGGUGAACAAUCCGGUGGUCUGACGGUACCUCCAAAGGAAGUGCCGGCUAACUCCGUG
RNAcentral lists this ribosomal RNA (505 nucleotides) under uncultured bacterium. RNAcentral describes it as "bacterial SSU rRNA". It matches the Rfam family "Bacterial small subunit ribosomal RNA", at positions 29 to 507 of the family's 1533-position model. The record is from RNAcentral.